GACGAACGCUGGCGGCGUGCUUAACACAUGCAAGUCGAACGGUGAAGCGCCUUCCUUUUUGGUGAGUGUGGAUGAGUGGCGAACGGGUGAGUAACACGUGAGUAACCUGCCCCCUUCUUCUGGAUAACCGCAUGAAAGUGUGGCUAAUACGGGAUAUUCUGGGUCUGUCGCAUGAUGGGUCUGGGAAAGAUAUUGUUUCGGUGGGGGAUGGGCUCGCGGCCUAUCAGCUUGUUGGUGGGGUGAUGGCCUACCAAGGCGGUGACGGGUAGCCGGCCUGAGAGGGUGGACGGUCACACUGGGACUGAGACACGGCCCAGACUCCUACGGGAGGCAGCAGUGGGGAAUAUUGCACAAUGGGCGCAAGCCUGAUGCAGCGACGCCGCGUGAGGGAUGGAGGCCUGCGGGUUGUGAACCUCUUUCGCCAGUGAAGCAGGCCUGCCUCGUUUGUGGGUGGGUUGACGGUAGCUGGAUAAGAAGCGCCGGCUAACUACGUG
RNAcentral lists this ribosomal RNA (494 nucleotides) under uncultured bacterium. RNAcentral's name for it is "partial 16S ribosomal RNA". It matches the Rfam family "Bacterial small subunit ribosomal RNA", at positions 28 to 507 of the family's 1533-position model. The record is from RNAcentral.